RNAcentral lists this ribosomal RNA (497 nucleotides) under uncultured bacterium. RNAcentral describes it as "partial 16S ribosomal RNA". It matches the Rfam family "Bacterial small subunit ribosomal RNA", at positions 28 to 507 of the family's 1533-position model. The record is from RNAcentral.
GAUGAACGCUGGCGGCGUGCCUAAUACAUGCCAGUCGAGCGAACAGACGAGGAGCUUGCUCCUCUGACGUUAGCGGCGGACGGGUGAGUAACACGUGGAUAACCUACCUAUAAGACUGGGAUAACUUCGGGAAACCGGAGCCAAUACCGGAUAAUAUAUUGAACCGCAUGGUUCAAUAGUGAAAGACGGUUUUGCUGUCACUUAUAGAUGGAUCCGCGCCGCAUUAGCUAGUUGGUAAGGUAACGGCUUACCAAGGCGACGAUGCGUAGCCGACCUGAGAGGGUGAUCGGCCACACUGGAACUGAGACACGGUCCAGACUCCUACGGGAGGCAGCAGUAGGGAAUCUUCCGCAAUGGGCGAAAGCCUGACGGAGCAACGCCGCGUGAGUGAUGAAGGUCUUCGGAUCGUAAAACUCUGUUAUUAGGGAAGAACAAAUGUGUAAGUAACUAUGCACGUCUUGACGGUACCUAAUCAGAAAGCCACGGCUAACUACGUG